AUAGCAAACAGGAGUUAUUUGGUCACAGGACAGAUCUUCCGCCAGUAAACAGUCUAGUAAACAAUCCUGAGCACUCCCUUCUGAAGGCAAAUAGCUCCAAAGAAAUGCUUUCAAAUGUAAAAUUGUCCAGACAGUGAUGUUGAUUGCCACACAGCAACACCCACAUCUCAUCUCCUAAAGUCUUAUCACAAGAAAUACCUCAGGAAGCAAGCUUUGAGCUAGAAAACAAAGAAGGUUUCAUACACAAGGUCCUGCAUCUGAGUUGGCAUGAUCCCACACACAGUGCAGGUUGGGUGGAGAAUGGUUUUAGAGCAUCCCUGAGGAGAAGGAUUUAGGAGUGCUGAUUGAAGAAAGACUCAGCAUGAGCCAGCAGUGUGUGAUUGCAGCCCAGAAGGAGAGCUGUAUCCUGGAUUGCAUCAGGAAAAGCAUGAUCAGCAGGUCAAUGAAGGUGAUUCUGCUUAUCUACUCUGCUCUCAUGAGACCCCGCCUGGAGUACUGUGUCCAUUUCUGAAGCUCCCAACGUAAGAAGGACAUGGGGUUGUUGGAAAUGGUCCAGAGCAGGGCCAUGAAGGUGAUCAGAGGGCUGGAACACCUACACUACGAGGACAGGCUGAGAGAGCUGGGGUUCUUCAGACUGGAGAAGAGGAGGCUCCAAGGAGACCUUAUAGAGGCCUUCCACAACCUGAAGGGGGCCCACAGGAAAGCUGAGGGAGAACUUUUUAUGAGGGCGGGUAGCAACAGGCUGAAGGGAAAUGGUUUUAAACUAGAAAAUGGUAGGCAUAGACUAGAUAUCAGAGAGAUAUUCUGUACUGUGAGGGGAGUGAGACACUAGAACAGGUUGCCCAGUAAGGCUGUGAAUGCCCCCUCCCUGGAAGCAUUCAAGUAUAACUUGGAACAGCCAAUGCAAUCCCGGCAUUUAGACCAGAUAACUGUGAAACUACAACUGUAGGAGGAAUUUGUAACAUAUGUUACUGCUAUGAGUUCCUGUCAUGCACUACCCAGCAAACAAAGCAAAAUGAGUGAGCUUGCGAAAUUAUAUAUCAAGACUUUCAUUCUAUUGUGAAUAACAGAAGAUAUUUGAAUCUUACUAUAAAUACAGUACUGUGGAGUGCAUUUAUAUGUUAAAUUAAGGGGUUAUUAGUGCUGUUUACAGAAACACAUCAAGACUGGUUUAUAUGAAUCACGUUCUAACACAUAGGAAAUUUGUUUUCAGUAAGAGAAAAAACAUCCUGGUGAAAAAGAAAAGAUCUGUAAUGUUGUAAGAACAGUGAACAUAAUUUCAU
Gallus gallus (chicken) is the source of this 1283-nucleotide long non-coding RNA. Lineage: Eukaryota; Metazoa; Chordata; Aves; Galliformes; Phasianidae. The record is from Ensembl.